RNAcentral lists this ribosomal RNA (448 nucleotides) under uncultured bacterium. RNAcentral's name for it is "bacterial SSU rRNA". It matches the Rfam family "Bacterial small subunit ribosomal RNA", at positions 329 to 794 of the family's 1533-position model. The record is from RNAcentral.
CCCCAGACUCCUACGGGAGGCAGCAGUGGGGAAUAUUGCACAAUGGGGGAAACCCUGAUGCAGCGACGCCGCGUGAGUGAAGAAGUAUUUCGGUAUGUAAAGCUCUAUCAGCAGGGAAGAAAAUGACGGUACCUGACUAAGAAGCCCCGGCUAACUACGUGCCAGCAGCCGCGGUAAUACGUAGGGGGCAAGCGUUAUCCGGAUUUACUGGGUGUAAAGGGAGCGUAGACGGCAUGGCAAGUCAGAUGUGAAAGCCCGGGGCUCAACCCCGGGACUGCAUUUGAAACUGUCAGGCUGGAGUGCAGGAGAGGUAAGUGGAAUUCCUAGUGUAGCGGUGAAAUGCGUAGAUAUUAGGAGGAACACCAGUGGCGAAGGCGGCUUACUGGACUGUAACUGACGUUGAGGCUCGAAAGCGUGGGGAGCAAACAGGAUUAGAUACCCGCGUAAA